RNAcentral lists this ribosomal RNA (701 nucleotides) under uncultured Polycystinea. RNAcentral describes it as "bacterial SSU rRNA". It matches the Rfam family "Eukaryotic small subunit ribosomal RNA", at positions 1 to 716 of the family's 1831-position model. Lineage: Eukaryota; Polycystinea. The record is from RNAcentral.
UAUCUGGUUGAUCCUGCCAGUAGUCAUACGCUUGUCUUAAGGAUUUAUCCAUGCAUGUCUAAGUGCAGUGUACUCGACACACUAGACUGCGGACGGCUCAUUAUAACAGUUAUAGUUUAUUUGAUGGUUCAUUCUACGUGGAUAACCGUGGUAAUUCUAGAGCUAAUACAUGCCAAAAUCCCGGACCCUCUGGGCUUCGGGAGCAUUUAUUAGAUACCAAAUCAAUCGGCUUUUGCCGCUUUGAGGACUCAUAAUAACUUUUUCAGAUCGUGUAAACGGCGUAUCAUUCAAGUUUCUGACCUAUCAGUUAGUCGGUAGUGUAUUGGACUACUGAGGUUUUGACGGGUAACGGAGAAUUAGGGUUCGGUUCCGGAGAGGGAGCCUGAGAAACGGCUACCACAUCUAAGGAAGGCAGCAGGAGCGUAAAUUACCCAAUCCUGACCCAGGGAGGUAGUGACAAGAAAUCCAAUAUUUUGCCCUUCAAGGUAAAAUAAUUGUAUUGAGAACAGGAUAAACAUGUUAUUGAUAAACUAUUGGAGGGCAAGUCUGGUGCCAGCAGCCGCGGUACUUCAACUUCCAUAGCGUAUGCUACCGUUGUUGCAGUUAAAAACUCGAAGUUGGAUUUUUACGGUACCAGUCUUGAAUGGUCUACAAGUAUCGGUUUUGGCCUGGUUCUCGAUUUGCGUCUGCGCCCGACCGGA